This 376-nucleotide unclassified non-coding RNA is filed under the name uncultured Actinomycetes bacterium. RNAcentral describes it as "uncultured actinobacterium contains 16S-23S intergenic spacer region". Lineage: Bacteria; Bacillati; Actinomycetota; Actinomycetes. The record is from RNAcentral.
UCCUCCUUACAGAGGCAGUUUGUUUCGAGUUCCCGGCAUCACCCGCUGGCAACAUCGGACAGGGGUUGCGCUCGUUGCGCCACUUAAGGCAACACCUCACGGCACGAGCUGGCGACAGCCAUGCAGCACCUGUGCGGGCUCCCGAAGGAGGACCGGCUUUCACCGGCUUCACCCCGCAUGUCAAGCCCUGGUAAGGUUCUUCGCGUUGCGUCGAAUUAAGCCACAUGCUCCGCCGCUUGUGCGGGCCCCCGUCAAUUCCUUUGAGUUUUAGCCUUGCGGCCGUACUCCCCAGGCGGGGUGCUUAAUGCGUUAGCGUCGGCACGGAAGGGGUUGAUGCCCCCCACACCUAGCACCCAACGUUUACGGCUGGGACUAC